Molecule: ribosomal RNA, 492 nt
Filed under: uncultured bacterium
Lineage: Bacteria
Description: partial 16S ribosomal RNA
Rfam family: Bacterial small subunit ribosomal RNA
Source: RNAcentral
AGUGAACGCUGGCGGUAGGCCUAACACAUGCAAGUCGAACGGCAGCACAGUAAGAGCUUGCUCUUACGGGUGGCGAGUGGCGGACGGGUGAGGAAUACAUCGGAAUCUACUUUUUCGUGGGGGAUAACGUAGGGAGACUUACGCUAAUACCGCAUACGACCUACGGGUGAAAGCAGGGGAUCUUCGGACCUUGCGCGAUUGAAUGAGCCGAUGUCGGAUUAGCUAGUUGGCGGGGUAAAGGCCCACCAAGGCGACGAUCCGUAGCUGGUCUGAGAGGAUGAUCAGCCACACUGGAACUGAGACACGGUCCAGACUCCUACGGGAGGCAGCAGUGGGGAAUAUUGGACAAUGGGCGCAAGCCUGAUCCAGCCAUACCGCGUGGGUGAAGAAGGCCUUCGGGUUGUAAAGCCUUUUUGUUGGGAAAGAAAAGCAGCAGGUUAAUACCCCGCUGUUCUGACGGUACCCAAAGAAUAAGCACCGGCUAACUUCGUG